Molecule: non-coding RNA, 114 nt
Organism: Pluteus cervinus
Lineage: Eukaryota; Fungi; Basidiomycota; Agaricomycetes; Agaricales; Pluteaceae
Source: the annotation of a GenBank genome assembly
GGGCUCUUAGCGCACAGGUAGCGCGCACGCUUCGCAUAGGCUACUUACGGCCCAAGAUAUCGUGUAGUUGUGAGAUGUGUGAGUAUCGUGGGUUCAAACCCCACAUCGAAUCCA